CAGGAAGUAGUUUAUAGAGAAUGUCAGCUUUGGGUGUUGAUGGAGGGGCUUUAGUCUCCUUCCUGAG
Molecule: transfer RNA, 67 nt
Filed under: Smutsia temminckii (ground pangolin)
Lineage: Eukaryota; Metazoa; Chordata; Mammalia; Pholidota; Manidae
Description: Manis temminckii (ground pangolin) tRNA-Pro
Source: RNAcentral